GGGUGACGAGUGGCGGACGGGUGAGUAAUGUCUGGGGAUCUGCCCGAUAGAGGGGGAUAACCACUGGAAACGGUGGCUAAUACCGCAUAACGUCGCAAGACCAAAGAGGGGGACCUUCGGGCCUCUCACUAUCGGAUGAACCCAGAUGGGAUUAGCUAGUAGGCGGGGUAAUGGCCCACCUAGGCGACGAUCCCUAGCUGGUCUGAGAGGAUGACCAGCCACACUGGAACUGAGACACGGUCCAGACUCCUACGGGAGGCAGCAGUGGGGGAAUAUUGCACAAUGGGCGCAAG
This 293-nucleotide ribosomal RNA is filed under the name uncultured Pantoea sp. Its description in RNAcentral is "partial 16S ribosomal RNA". It matches the Rfam family "Bacterial small subunit ribosomal RNA", at positions 86 to 381 of the family's 1533-position model. Lineage: Bacteria; Pseudomonadati; Pseudomonadota; Gammaproteobacteria; Enterobacterales; Erwiniaceae. The record is from RNAcentral.